Molecule: ribosomal RNA, 207 nt
Filed under: uncultured bacterium
Lineage: Bacteria
Description: partial 16S ribosomal RNA
Rfam family: Bacterial small subunit ribosomal RNA
Source: RNAcentral
CGCGUAGGCGGUCUGAUAAGUCAGAUGUGAAAGGUACCGGCUCAACCGGUGACGUGCAUUUGAAACUGUCAGACUUGAGUAUUGGAGAGGCAAGUGGAAUCCCUAGUGUAGCGGUGAAAUGCGUAGAUAUUAGGAGGAACACCAGUGGCGAAGGCGGCUUGCCGGACAAAUACUGACGCUGAGGUGCGAAAGCGUGGGGAGCGAACA